This 257-nucleotide unclassified non-coding RNA is filed under the name uncultured fungus. Its description in RNAcentral is "partial contains small subunit ribosomal RNA, internal transcribed spacer 1, and 5.8S ribosomal RNA". The stretch from base 1 to 73 matches the Rfam family "Eukaryotic small subunit ribosomal RNA", at positions 1759 to 1831 of the family's 1831-position model. The record is from RNAcentral. Lineage: Eukaryota; Fungi.
UCAAACUUGGUCAUUUAGAGGAAGUAAAAGUCGUAACAAGGUCUCCGUAGGUGAACCUGCGGAGGGAUCAUUACCGAGCGAGGGCCUCCGGGCCCAACCUCCCACCCAUGUGGUUCGGAAAGAUUGCCUCGGGGGCGACCCGCAAGGGCCCCCCGGCGGAUCACGCACAACCUUUGAACCGUCGUCGAGUUUGAAAACAAAUAAGCAAAACUUUCAACAAUGGAUCUCUUGGUUCUGGCAUCGAUGAAGAACGCAGC